This 945-nucleotide ribosomal RNA is filed under the name Microbacterium sp. C1T2. Its description in RNAcentral is "bacterial SSU rRNA". It matches the Rfam family "Bacterial small subunit ribosomal RNA", at positions 547 to 1488 of the family's 1533-position model. Lineage: Bacteria; Bacillati; Actinomycetota; Actinomycetes; Micrococcales; Microbacteriaceae. The record is from RNAcentral.
GGAAUUAUUGGGCGUAAAGAGCUCGUAGGCGGUUUGUCGCGUCUGCUGUGAAAUCCCGAGGCUCAACCUCGGGCCUGCAGUGGGUACGGGCAGACUAGAGUGCGGUAGGGGAGAUUGGAAUUCCUGGUGUAGCGGUGGAAUGCGCAGAUAUCAGGAGGAACACCGAUGGCGAAGGCAGAUCUCUGGGCCGUAACUGACGCUGAGGAGCGAAAGGGUGGGGAGCAAACAGGCUUAGAUACCCUGGUAGUCCACCCCGUAAACGUUGGGAACUAGUUGUGGGGUCCUUUCCACGGAUUCCGUGACGCAGCUAACGCAUUAAGUUCCCCGCCUGGGGAGUACGGCCGCAAGGCUAAAACUCAAAGGAAUUGACGGGGACCCGCACAAGCGGCGGAGCAUGCGGAUUAAUUCGAUGCAACGCGAAGAACCUUACCAAGGCUUGACAUACACGAGAACACUCUAGAAAUAGGGGACUCUUUGGACACUCGUGAACAGGUGGUGCAUGGUUGUCGUCAGCUCGUGUCGUGAGAUGUUGGGUUAAGUCCCGCAACGAGCGCAACCCUCGUUCUAUGUUGCCAGCACGUAAUGGUGGGAACUCAUGGGAUACUGCCGGGGUCAACUCGGAGGAAGGUGGGGAUGACGUCAAAUCAUCAUGCCCCUUAUGUCUUGGGCUUCACGCAUGCUACAAUGGCCGGUACAAAGGGCUGCAAUACCGUGAGGUGGAGCGAAUCCCAAAAAGCCGGUCCCAGUUCGGAUUGAGGUCUGCAACUCGACCUCAUGAAGUCGGAGUCGCUAGUAAUCGCAGAUCAGCAACGCUGCGGUGAAUACGUUCCCGGGUCUUGUACACACCGCCCGUCAAGUCAUGAAAGUCGGUAACACCUGAAGCCGGUGGCCCAACCCUUGUGGAGGGAGCCGUCGAAGGUGGGAUCGGUAAUUAGGACUAAGUCG